CCAUUUUGUCUGAGCGGUGGUGGUCGUAGCUCUAUCGCAUUUUUAUGUUUCUGGCGAGAGGAGAGCCGAGGCUUUAUCCCAUAGAUUCAUUUUAGUGCGGCACCUAUCCGCCGUUCACUCCAGGACAGCACCUAGUGAAGGUCGGAGGAGUCGCGGACUUGUCAAAAAGGUCGGUUGGAAGCUGUGGUUGUCCGAGUGACUGGGGGAUGGCGCAGCUUUAGCGGCACCGGCACCGGAAGUGGACGGGCCGCACGGCGGCCAUGGCAAAUUGGUCUGAAGAAAACAAGACUUUCAGUGACAUAUCCUAAGUAUUACUGAGUUGUUAGGCUCUUUAUUUGAGACUCCACUCCCAGAGGGCAGCAACUGAGGUUUUUAUCACUGUUAUGUUUCCCUACCUGAUACAUGAAUAAACCUCAUUUUGUGGGAAAAUGAAGGAAUAUGUUCCAGUUUUAAAAGACCUGGAUCUGCUAUCGAAAAUUGUAUUUCUGAGUACAACCUGGCUUCUUCAAUCAGAAGAGCAUGUGACUCGAUCUCAGGAUGGUCCCUUUAUGAAUGAUGGAAAUAGAAGCAAAUGGAUAGGCUUAUCAGAUAAGUGCUUUAAUAUUCUAAAUAUAUUUUUAUUAUUUGU
Callorhinus ursinus (northern fur seal) is the source of this 628-nucleotide non-coding RNA. The record is from RefSeq and is a predicted model, not a curated record. Lineage: Eukaryota; Metazoa; Chordata; Mammalia; Carnivora; Otariidae.